UUAAGCGACUAAGCGUACACGGUGGAUGCCCUGGCAGUCAGAGGCGAUGAAGGACGUGCUAAUCUGCGAAAAGCGUCGGUAAGGUGAUAUGAACCGUUAUAACCGGCGAUGUCCGAAUGGGGAAACCCAGUGUGAUUCGUCACACUAUCGUUAACUGAAUACAUAGGUUAACGAGGCGAACCGGGGGAACUGAAACAUCUAAGUACCCCGAGGAAAAGAAAUCAACCGAGAUUCCCCCAGUAGCGGCGAGCGAACGGGGAGCAGCCCAGAGUCUGAAUCAGCUUGUGUGUUAGUGGAACGGUCUGGAAAGUCCGACGGUACAGGGUGAUAGUCCCGUACACCAAAAUGCACAGGUUGUGAACUCGAAGAGUAGGGCGGGACACGUGGUAUCCUGUCUGAAUAUGGGGGGACCAUCCUCCAAGGCUAAAUACUCCUGACUGACCGAUAGUGAACCAGUACCGUGAGGGAAAGGCGAAAAGAACCCCGGCGAGGGGAGUGAAAAAGAACCUGAAACCGUGUACGUACAAGCAGUGGGAGCACCUUCGGGUGUGACUGCGUACCUUUUGUAUAAUGGGUCAGCGACUUAUAUUCUGUAGCAAGGUUAACCGUAUAGGGGAGCCGCAGGGAAACCGAGUCUUAACUGGGCGUUAAGUUGCAGGGUAUAGACCCGAAACCCGGUGAUCUAGCCAUGGGCAGGUUGAAGGUUGGGUAACACUAACUGGAGGACCGAACCGACUAAUGUUGAAAAAUUAGCGGAUGACUUGUGGCUGGGGGUGAAAGGCCAAUCAAACCGGGAGAUAGCUGGUUCUCCCCGAAAGCUAUUUAGGUAGCGCCUCGUGAACUCAUCUUCGGGGGUAGAGCACUGUUUCGGCUAGGGGGUCAUCCCGACUUACCAACCCGAUGCAAACUACGAAUACCGAAGAAUGUUAUCACGGGAGACACACGGCGGGUGCUAACGUCCGUCGUGAAGAGGGAAACAACCCAGACCGCCAGCUAAGGUCCCAAAGUCAUGGUUAAGUGGGAAACGAUGUGGGAAGGCACAGACAGCCAGGAUGUUGGCUUAGAAGCAGCCAUCAUUUAAAGAAAGCGUAAUAGCUCACUGGUCGAGUCGGCCUGCGCGGAAGAUGUAACGGGGCUAAACCAUGCACCGAAGCUGCGGCAGCGACACUAUGUGUUGUUGGGUAGGGGAGCGUUCUGUAAGCCUGCGAAGGUGACCUGUGAGGGUUGCUGGAGGUAUCAGAAGUGCGAAUGCUGACAUAAGUAACGAUAAAGCGGGUGAAAAGCCCGCUCGCCGGAAGACCAAGGGUUCCUGUCCAACGUUAAUCGGGGCAGGGUGAGUCGACCCCUAAGGCGAGGCCGAAAGGCGUAGUCGAUGGGAAACAGGUUAAUAUUCCUGUACUUGGUGUUACUGCGAAGGGGGGACGGAGAAGGCUAUGUUAGCCGGGCGACGGUUGUCCCGGUUUAAGCAUGUAGGCUGGUUGUCCAGGCAAAUCCGGAUAAUCAAGGCUGAGGUGUGAUGACGAGGCACUACGGUGCUGAAGUAACAAAUGCCCUGCUUCCAGGAAAAGCCUCUAAGCAUCAGGUAACAUCAAAUCGUACCCCAAACCGACACAGGUGGUCAGGUAGAGAAUACCAAGGCGCUUGAGAGAACUCGGGUGAAGGAACUAGGCAAAAUGGUGCCGUAACUUCGGGAGAAGGCACGCUGGUGUGUAGGUGAAGUCCCUGCGGAUGGAGCUGAGACCAGUCGAAGAUACCAGCUGGCUGCAACUGUUUAUUAAAAACACAGCACUGUGCAAACACGAAAGUGGACGUAUACGGUGUGACGCCUGCCCGGUGCCGGAAGGUUAAUUGAUGGGGUUAUCCGUAAGGAGAAGCUCUUGAUCGAAGCCCCGGUAAACGGCGGCCGUAACUAUAACGGUCCUAAGGUAGCGAAAUUCCUUGUCGGGUAAGUUCCGACCUGCACGAAUGGCGUAAUGAUGGCCAGGCUGUCUCCACCCGAGACUCAGUGAAAUUGAACUCGCUGUGAAGAUGCAGUGUACCCGCGGCAAGACGGAAAGACCCCGUGAACCUUUACUAUAGCUUGACACUGAACAUUGAGCCUUGAUGUGUAGGAUAGGUGGGAGGCUUUGAAGCGUGGACGCCAGUCUGCGUGGAGCCAACCUUGAAAUACCACCCUUUAAUGUUUGAUGUUCUAACGUUGGCCCCUGACCGGGGUUGCGGACAGUGUCUGGUGGGUAGUUUGACUGGGGCGGUCUCCUCCCAAAGCGUAACGGAGGAGCACGAAGGUUAGCUAAUCCUGGUCGGACAUCAGGAGGUUAGUGCAAUGGCAUAAGCUAGCUUGACUGCGAGCGUGACGGCGCGAGCAGGUGCGAAAGCAGGUCAUAGUGAUCCGGUGGUUCUGAAUGGAAGGGCCAUCGCUCAACGGAUAAAAGGUACUCCGGGGAUAACAGGCUGAUACCGCCCAAGAGUUCAUAUCGACGGCGGUGUUUGGCACCUCGAUGUCGGCUCAUCACAUCCUGGGGCUGAAGUAGGUCCCAAGGGUAUGGCUGUUCGCCAUUUAAAGUGGUACGCGAGCUGGGUUUAGAACGUCGUGAGACAGUUCGGUCCCUAUCUGCCGUGGGCGCUGGAGAAUUGAGGGGGGCUGCUCCUAGUACGAGAGGACCGGAGUGGACGCAUCACUGGUGUUCGGGUUGUCAUGCCAAUGGCACUGCCCGGUAGCUAAAUGCGGAAGAGAUAAGUGCUGAAAGCAUCUAAGCACGAAACUUGCCCCGAGAUGAGUUCUCCCUGAGACUUUAAGUCUCCUGAAGGAACGUUGAAGACGACGACGUUGAUAGGCCGGGUGUGUAAGCGCAGCGAUGCGUUGAGCUAACCGGUACUAAUGAACCGUGAGGCUUAACCUU
RNAcentral lists this ribosomal RNA (2900 nucleotides) under Klebsiella pneumoniae. RNAcentral's name for it is "bacterial LSU rRNA". It matches the Rfam family "Bacterial large subunit ribosomal RNA". The record is from RNAcentral. Lineage: Bacteria; Pseudomonadati; Pseudomonadota; Gammaproteobacteria; Enterobacterales; Enterobacteriaceae.